GGCGGCGUAGCUCAGUUGGUUAGAGCGACGGACUCAUAACCCGUAGGUCAGUGGUUCAAAUCCACUCGCCGCUACCA
RNAcentral lists this transfer RNA (77 nucleotides) under Acidobacteria bacterium Mor1. RNAcentral's name for it is "tRNA-Met". It matches the Rfam family "tRNA". Rfam says of the family: Transfer RNA (tRNA) molecules are approximately 80 nucleotides in length. Their secondary structure includes four short double-helical elements and three loops (D, anti-codon, and T loops). Further hydrogen bonds mediate the characteristic L-shaped molecular structure. tRNAs have two regions of fundamental functional importance: the anti-codon, which is responsible for specific mRNA codon recognition, and the 3' end, to which the tRNAs corresponding amino acid is attached (by aminoacyl-tRNA synthetases). tRNAs cope with the degeneracy of the genetic code in two manners: having more than one tRNA (with a specific anti-codon) for a particular amino acid; and 'wobble' base-pairing, i.e. permitting non-standard base-pairing at the 3rd anti-codon position. Lineage: Bacteria; Pseudomonadati; Acidobacteriota. The record is from RNAcentral.